GGAGAGGUGGCUGAGUGGCCGAAAGCACCGGUUUGCUAAAUCGGCGAAGGUGUCAUAACCUUCCGCAGGUUCGAAUCCUGUCCUCUCCG
This 89-nucleotide transfer RNA is filed under the name Pirellulaceae bacterium. RNAcentral's name for it is "tRNA-Ser". It matches the Rfam family "tRNA". Rfam says of the family: Transfer RNA (tRNA) molecules are approximately 80 nucleotides in length. Their secondary structure includes four short double-helical elements and three loops (D, anti-codon, and T loops). The record is from RNAcentral. Lineage: Bacteria; Pseudomonadati; Planctomycetota; Planctomycetia; Pirellulales; Pirellulaceae.